GAUGAACGCUGGCGGCAUGCCUAACACAUGCAAGUCGAUCGGUAAGGCUCUUCGGAGUACACGAGAGGCGGACGGCUGAGUAACGCGUAGGAACACACCCUGCAGUGAGGGAUAAGACACCGAAAGGUGUUCUAAUACCGCAUACGGUCUUCGGAUUAAAGCAUUUAUGCGCUGAAGGAGUGGCCUGCGUCAUAUUAGAUAGUUGGUGAGGUAAUGGCUCACCAAGUCGAUGAUGUGUAGCUGGUCUGAGAGGAUGAUCAGCCAGACUGGAACUGAGACACGGUCCAGACUCCUACGGGAGGCAGCAGUGGGGAAUAUUUCACAAUGAGCGAAAGCGUGAUGGAGCAAUGCCGCGUGCAGGAUGAAGGCCCUCGGGUUGUAAACUGCUUUUAUAAGAGAAGAUUAUGACGGUAACUUAUGAAUAAGGGACGGCUAACUACGUG
This 443-nucleotide ribosomal RNA is filed under the name uncultured bacterium. Its description in RNAcentral is "partial 16S ribosomal RNA". It matches the Rfam family "Bacterial small subunit ribosomal RNA", at positions 28 to 507 of the family's 1533-position model. The record is from RNAcentral.